Molecule: ribosomal RNA, 478 nt
Filed under: uncultured bacterium
Lineage: Bacteria
Description: partial 16S ribosomal RNA
Rfam family: Bacterial small subunit ribosomal RNA
Source: RNAcentral
GACGAACGCUGGCGGCGUGCUUAACACAUGCAAGUCGAACGGUAAGGCCCUUCGGGGUACACGAGUGGCGAACGGGUGAGUAACACGUGGGUGAUCUGCCCUGCACUUCGGGAUAAGCCUGGGAAACUGGGUCUAAUACCGGAUAGGACCACUGCCUGCAUGGGUGGUGGUGGAAAGCUUUUGCGGUGUGGGAUGGGCCCGCGGCCUAUCAGCUUGUUGGUGGGGUGAUGGCCUACCAAGGCGACGACGGGUAGCCGGCCUGAGAGGGUGACCGGCCACACUGGGACUGAGAUACGGCACAGACUCCUACGGGAGGCAGCAGUGGGGAAUAGUGCACAAUGGGCGCACGCCUGAUGCAGCGACGCCGCGUGAGGGAUGACGGCCUUCGGGUUGUAAACCUCUUUCAGCACAGACGAAGCGCAAGUGACGGUAUGUGCAGAAGAAGGACCGGCCAACUACGUGCCAGCCGCCGCAGUAA